Molecule: ribosomal RNA, 245 nt
Filed under: uncultured bacterium
Lineage: Bacteria
Description: partial 16S ribosomal RNA
Rfam family: Bacterial small subunit ribosomal RNA
Source: RNAcentral
UACGAAGGUCCCAAGCGUUGUUCGGAAUCACUGGGCGUAAAGGGUGCGUAGGCGGUCCGGUAAGUCGGGUGUGAAAUCCCGGGGCUCAACCCCGGAACUGCACUCGAUACUGCCGGGCUCGAGGACUGGAGAGGAGACUGGAAUUCUCGGUGUAGCAGUGAAAUGCGUAGAUAUCGAGAGGAACACUCGUGGCGAAGGCGAGUCUCUGGACAGUUCCUGACGCUGAGGCACGAAGGCCAGGGGAG